Molecule: long non-coding RNA, 2556 nt
Organism: Lemur catta (Ring-tailed lemur)
Lineage: Eukaryota; Metazoa; Chordata; Mammalia; Primates; Lemuridae
Exons: 4
Source: RefSeq, a predicted model, not a curated record
CACAGAGGGCCACCAGGGACCAGGAGUCAGCUUCCUGGAGAAUUAUAAAUUUACAGCAACAGAACUUUUCUAUAUUUAGAAGUAGCACAACAAAUUUUCUGGGACUGUGAGUGGGGGCAGCUUAGACCAACAGAAAGGCCACCACACUGGAGCCCAGGAGAUGUGCUUAGGCCCACCCCAUCCAUGCUGCUGGUGACCAGGAGCCAGUCACUUUCCCUGCUGACGCUCAGAGACACCUGAGUUCACCUGACGCUCAGGCAGGUGCUCUUUCUUCCAGACCACACUCUCUUGGCAGGGAGGCACAAGGAUCCCUGGGACAGAGGUCACAUCCAUCUCAGCACUAUGCUGCCAGUCGACUCCCCCAGACCGUUCUUCCUUGUAGCUGCCUUCACAGCAAUGCUCACCCUAGGGUGGGGCAGGAGCCCAAGGACUGACCGCCACACACAGAAGGAAGGCUCCCUAGGUGCAACACCUGGCUGGGUCACAGAGCAGAGGUGCAGAGGACGGGACGGCAUUCCAGGCCGAGGGUGAGAGGGCGGGUCCUUCUAAGAGGAAGCUGAGAGGGCCAAAGGAGCAAGUAGGAGAUACGACAAUGGAAGCAAAAGUUGGAGUGAUGCGAGAAAGGGACCAGCAGCCAGCAACGCCAGAAACUGGAACAGGCGAGGAGACCGACCUCUCCGAGAGCCCCGCAGGAACCAGCCCUGCUCGCACCUUGACUUAAGCCCCAAGAAACUGAGCUCAGACUUCGGGCCUCCAGAACUGUCAGGGAACGCGUCAGACUCUUCCAUGGAUGAAGACCUCCAUUUUUUUUUUUUAAAUGGCAGUCCCUGUCCUGCCUCUCUCCUAGAGCUGUGCUCACCUGGCUCCAGGGGAGACGAGAUGUAUGCCGGCUUUGUACCUGGGCCUGCGACCCUACUGCUGUGACUCUCUGGGCCCAGGAAGUUCACCCCUGCAUGUCUCCCCUCACCCAGUCCCCUGACAGCUCUGGUGCACUGGUCCAGGCGAGAAGGAGGAGGAGGAAGGGCAGGGUCUCCUCUGAAGGUCCCAUCUCCAGCGGCUUGUGGUUUUCAAGUUUGACUUGUCUCCUGCGUCCAGUUUCCCUCAACACCGGGAAUUGCACAGGACCGCUGUGACGGCCACAUGGCUGUGCUCUGGGUCUCUGCCAAGGGGGAAGAGGGGACUGACAUCCAUCCCGUGCUGGACACUUUUGGCUUGGCACAAGGGCACCAUCUGCCGAGGGGCUCAUCUGCCCAGAGGGGACAGCCUUGUUUAAUCCUCACAAAAGCCCUGCCUGGGUUCUCAGUGGUCUGAGAAUUAUGUGCUGGCUUUGCAGGAGCCCCCAGAGCCUCGCAUCCAGAGCACGGGAGGGGCAGUAACGGGUGUGUGGGAGUGAGAAGCAAACCCACUCCCAGUAGCACCCCAGAAGAGGCCACUGAUCCUGCAAAUCCCUCCAUGGGAGCUGCCCAGGGCCCCCUCCCUGGAGACACGCAGAGGGAGCCCUGGGACGCCUGGGCUGCCACCCCCAAGACCCUGGGCCCACUUCUCUGUGCAGACCUCUGGCACAGAGGCCCCCACCCCAGGCUGAGCUCCCUGGGGCCAACCACAGAAAGGCCCAAGGGCUCUGUGUUCCUGCCUAGGUUUCUAACCACCCCAGAGUGGUUACUUCAUCACUCAUUUUUCCUCUCCCAGUCCUUUCCUGUACAGGUCUCCUGCCAGCACAUCACCAAUCCUGACUUCCCUGCAUUCCUUCCCUGGCUCAGAGACUUCCACGGCUCCACCUCGUCCAGACCUGGCACUUAGCAUCUACACACCCUUCUUCUCUCCCCUGAGCCCCUCUGGCUCCCUUUCAUCUCUUCCCCCCACAUCCCACCCCCAGACCUUUGCCCAGACUGCUGCCUUCCUGGACCGCCUUCCUUACCCUCCUUUCCUCUAUCUAAACAUGAAAGUCCCUUUCAGGCUGCAUGAAGGCCCUCCCCUCGUGCAGAGCAGAAGAGCAUCCCUGGCAUCAGGCGGGGCGUGGGCCAGGGCAAGGCGCUCUGGGAGUGCAGACUGGGGCCCGGAAUGGCCCUGAGGCCUGGAUGUGAAGAGGGCACCCGAUGUACCCUCUGCAGGGGCUGCACCCGCGGGCAGCUUCCUGUGAGCUGGGAUCCCUGGAGGGGGAACUGAUGGCCCAUCGGGCUAUGAGCCAGUGCCCAGGACAGCCCUCGCUGGAAGAGCCAAGGGUGGGCUCUCGGGUGGAGACCCCUCAGCCAUAGCUGGGUCAGGGUGCCUGGGAGACCCGUCGGCCCGUAAGGCAGACCAUCCACAGACACUUACUGAACGCCAGGUACCAGGAGAUAACAAGUCUGAGUGACUGUCCAAUACCAGAGCCACUAGCCACACAGGGCCACUGAGCAUUUGAAAUGUGGCUCGUCCCAGUUAAGACUUAGUACCCCCCAAAAAAGAAUAUAAAAAUCUCAUUAGUAAUUUUAUACUGGUUACAUGUUGAAACAAUAAUAUUAUUGGGUUAGUAUUGAGUUAAAUGCACUUUUUUGCCUAUUUCUUUUUACUUCUUUA